RNAcentral lists this ribosomal RNA (429 nucleotides) under Acidobacteriota bacterium. Its description in RNAcentral is "Acidobacteria bacterium partial 16S ribosomal RNA". It matches the Rfam family "Bacterial small subunit ribosomal RNA", at positions 355 to 776 of the family's 1533-position model. The record is from RNAcentral. Lineage: Bacteria; Pseudomonadati; Acidobacteriota.
UGGGGAAUAUUGCGCAAUGGGGGCAACCCUGACGCAGCCAUGCCGCGUGAAUGAAGAAGGCCUUCGGGUUGUAAAGUUCUUUCGGUAGCGAGGAAGGCAUUUAGUUUAAUAGACUAGGUGAUUGACGUUAACUACAGAAGAAGCACCGGCUAACUCCGUGCCAGCAGCCGCGGUAAUACGGAGGGUGCGAGCGUUAAUCGGAAUAACUGGGCGUAAAGGGCACGCAGGCGAUGACUUAAGUGAGGUGUGAAAGCCCCGGGCUUAACCUGGGAAUUGCAUUUCAUACUGGGUCGCUAGAGUACUUUAGGGAGGGGUAGAAUUCCACGUGUAGCGGUGAAGUGCGUAGAGAUGUGGAGGAAUACCGAAGGCGAAGGCAGCCCCUUGGGAAUGUACUGACGCUCAUGUGCGAAAGCGUGGGGAGCAAACAGG